AUUGAACUCUCUCUUUAUUCUUUACACAUGCAAGUCGAACGGCAGCGCGGACUUCGGUCUGGCGGCGAGUGGCGAACGGGUGAGUAAUGUAUCGGAACGUGCCCAGUAGCGGGGGAUAACUACGCGAAAGCGUAGCUAAUACCGCAUACGCCCUACGGGGGAAAGCAGGGGAUCGUAAGACCUUGCACUAUUGGAGCGGCCGAUAUCGGAUUAGCUAGUUGGUGAGGUAACGGCUCACCAAGGCGACGAUCCGUAGCUGGUUUGAGAGGACGACCAGCCACACUGGGACUGAGACACGGCCCAGACUCCUACGGGAGGCAGCAGUGGGGAAUUUUGGACAAUGGGGGCAACCCUGAUCCAGCCAUCCCGCGUGUGCGAUGAAGGCCUUCGGGUUGUAAAGCACUUUUGGCAGGAAAGAAACGUCGCGGGCUAAUACCCCGUGGAACUGACGGUACCUGCAGAAUAAGCACCGGCUAACUACGUG
This 484-nucleotide ribosomal RNA is filed under the name uncultured bacterium. RNAcentral describes it as "partial 16S ribosomal RNA". It matches the Rfam family "Bacterial small subunit ribosomal RNA", at positions 30 to 507 of the family's 1533-position model. The record is from RNAcentral.